UGACAGACAAGAAAUAAUGUAUAACUGAAAUUUCACAAUGAUGUAAACUAUUAUGAACUCAAUUUAAAAAAAAAAGAUCCAUGAGGAAAGGCAAAAAAAAAAAGAGAGCUCCUGGUAGAUGAAGACCUUAAGGAUCAUGGACUAUAACCUGGAGAAUUUAUUUCUUGGAAGUGGCAUCAAAUAAAAGACUCUCUGCAGCCAUGUUGGAAAGGACCAUGCUGGGUACUUUUAACCAAUUCAUGCGCUGCAGAAUCAAAAGGCAUAUGCGCUGCAGAAUCAAAUGGCAUAGACUCAUGGAUUCACAUUUUUCAUUUAAAAAAGGUUUCUGCACCUGAGUGGCUUUCAGUUCCUGUUUCUGAUACUUGACUUCAACUGACCAAUGCAAAUAUUUCCAAACCAGGAUGAAAAGAAGACAGCCUCUGUUGUAGACAGCUGUCCCAAGACUCUGGACCAGGAUAAGCAUCUCUCCCUAAACUAAGGAUGCGUUACUGACCUGCUGUGAUCACCUUGUGACCACUCACUUUGUGACCACUGACCUGCCGACCACCGAUCUGCUGUGCCAGCUAAACAUCUCAUGACAAUCGUAAAUGGGACAUUCCUAUCAUUUGUGAUGUAUGCUCUUUGUUCCAAGACAGUAUAUAACUACUCUGCACACCCCAAUUCUUUGGUGCCCUUCCUUCCUUGGGGAAGGAAGGCCCUGGGCUAGUCCUCAGAUCUGGCUCAUAAUAUACUCACCCCAAUUUUGAUUUAUAGAUUGAUUAUGGAUUAUUUGCAUUGACAUUUCCUUAUACAAGUUCAAAUCUAAAGCUUGAGCCAUUUUCAAUUUCUCAAGAAACAUGUGAACAGAAACCAUAUUAACUUUAAAUAUCAAGCUAUGUGUUCAUGUUGACAAAAAAUGUUAAGAUUUAAUCACAUAAACUAAAUACCUACUUUUUAUUUGGUUUAACAGUUCAUUUAAAUACAUUCUUAUUUCCUAGAGGCUUAGACUCUUAGAUCAGAAAGCGUAUCCUUUGUUAUACUCUGAAAUCAAGUUAUUAGAUUUAAACAGUUCACCAAACACUAGCAGAAUGCUAACACCACCUGCAUAUGAUUCUGGAGUAGAAGAAAAGAACCUCAAACUGGAAAGUCAUCAAAUUUAAAUCCCAUCCCUUUAUACUUGAAGAACCUAUAAAACAGCCUCCUUAUAAUAGUUAAUGUAAAUAUAAACUCGUAUGUUUAAAAAAUAUGACUUUAACUUCAAUUCAUUUGUUUAAACUGUAGUCUCUGGUUCCAUUAUAAACAUAUCUAAUCUACUUCCAACUGACAAUCCUUCUGAUUUUUUAGGAAAACUGUGAUAUCUUUUCUCAGGUCAGCUUCAUUGGAUGAUUUGGAUGUGUAGUGGUGUUUUUUGAGAAAGAACGCUAUCCUUCCAGCCUCGCGUUUCCAGUCAUAAGUUCUCCUUGGCCCUGUUGAAGCACGUCCUGGAGGAAGCAUUGCAAGCUGAGGGGGGAGAGAUUCCAAAGGCUUCAGAGGAGACCCAGGGAGGGCAAGCCCUGGGCCUCACGUCUGGGACCUUAUCAUAGAGUGGUCUCAUCAGAGGAUGUGAGAGCCGGAAGUGACCUUGAGAACUUCUGCUUCUACUGUCUCAAUUUCAGAGAACAAAUUGAGCUUAGAGAAAACCUAUCUGGUGCUAGAACUGGGAUUUGAACUGAGAAACUGUCCCCAGUCUUGGGAAAACAUUUAUGUUAUUCAAAAUCACCUGAUAUGUUCUCAUUAGUUAUUGCUAAGGUAUUCUUAUAAUAAAAGUGAUAUUGUGGAUGCAUGUAAAUGCAUAAAAAUGAGCAGCAGCAGCAGCAGCAUCACUUUUCACGGAGUAUUUGAAAACAAAACUCUGGCAUCCGCCCCAGAUAAAAGACUCGAAUAAUUUUCUAGAAGCCUGAGGACCAGAUUCUAGAUCAAACUUCUAAACUGGCUUGAAUCCUAGUCCAGUUUCUGGCCUCCAACCUUCCUGGUGGGAAAUGAUUAUUGACCCUCCCCACGAGGGUGUGUGGACAGAGCGUAGAUUUUGCCCCUCCUUUGGAUGUUGCAUGGAGAAUUGGGGCCAACACUCUUCUUUGCAAGCAAGAGGCCAUAAUGGGAAGACAGAAUCAGAAAGCCUGAAUAUUUGGAUUUCCCCAGUGCCCCUUCUGUAAGCAACCCUCCCUGCCUGUGUGGUCAGCAGGUCCUUGGGGCAGAACACUACCAAGCGUCGUGACAGAGCUCUUGUCAGCAGCGGUGCCAGCUCCCAGGAGCUAAUCCAGUUAGUGGGGUCCCCUCUUUGUUCCUCAUGACAGGGCCUUCCAGGGGCUGCUCCAUUGGCCAACCACAGUUCCUGAGGAGGGACUUUCUUCCAGAGUCUUCCAAGUUCCAAACUCCAGCUCCUUCAGUAACAAGAUAGUUCUCUAUUAUUCUUUCUAAAGGCGCCCCACAGCGCAGUUCCUGCUUUGUUGCAGUGUUUUCUGACCUGUGGGCUUCAUAUUCCUAAGAAGCCAUUGAAUUACUGCAAGAACAUAUGAAUCACUGUUACACCAAGUAUGUCUGUAACCUGAAUAAACAAUGUUAAUGACGAGUUAUUGUGCUAUAUAUUCUGCACUGUGCCAAGCCCAUUGCAUGCAUUAUCUCAUUUAAUCCUCACAAAAAUGCUGUGAGGUAAGCAGAACGAUAACCCCAUCUUACAGGUGAGCAAACAGCCUCAGAGAGGUUAAAUAAGUUGCUCAAGAUCAGGAAGCUAGCAAAUGGGU
RNAcentral lists this long non-coding RNA (2759 nucleotides) under Equus caballus (horse). RNAcentral describes it as "lncRNA (ENSECAG00000059741.1)". The record is from RNAcentral. Lineage: Eukaryota; Metazoa; Chordata; Mammalia; Perissodactyla; Equidae.